CCGAGGAGCAUGUGGUUGAGUCACUCCACCGCUCCGUUCUGCUCCGGGGUGUAUGAUGCCGAGUGGGUGUGCACGGUGCCGUGCUGGCGCAGCCACUGCCGCAGUUGCUUGGCGAUGUACUCACCGCGUUUGUCGCUGUGCAGCGUGUGCACCCCUGCAUGGUUCAGGUGGCGGGCCUCCAGCUGCGUCACCAUGUCCUGCAGCACUUCACCCACUU
This 217-nucleotide long non-coding RNA is filed under the name Volvox carteri. Its description in RNAcentral is "long non-coding RNA (VCAR_LNC000102)". The record is from RNAcentral. Lineage: Eukaryota; Viridiplantae; Chlorophyta; Chlorophyceae; Chlamydomonadales; Volvocaceae.